GCGCAGCAGGCGCGAAUCCUUCGCAAUGCGCGAAAGCGCGACGAGGGGACUCCGAGUGCCUAUGCUCAGCAUAGGCUGUUCACCGGUGUAAAAGCCGGUGGAGGAAGGGGUGGACAAGACUGGUGCCAGCCGCCGCGGUAAUACCAGCGCCCCAAGUGGUGAUCGAUAUUAUUGGGUCUAAAACGUCCGUAGCCGGCCCGGUAAAUCUCCGGGUAAAUCGUCCAGCUUAACUGGUCGAAUUCUGGGGAGACUGCCGGGCUUGGGACCGGGAGAGGUCGGAGGUACUCCAGGGGUAGGGGUGAAAUCCUGUAAUCCCUGGGGGACCACCGGUGGCGAAGGCGUCCGACUAGAACGGGUCCGACGGUAAGGGACGAAGGCUAGGGGAGCAAACGGGAUUAGAUACCCCCGUAGU
RNAcentral lists this ribosomal RNA (412 nucleotides) under uncultured microorganism. Its description in RNAcentral is "bacterial SSU rRNA". It matches the Rfam family "Archaeal small subunit ribosomal RNA", at positions 330 to 745 of the family's 1478-position model. The record is from RNAcentral.